GUUUUAGCUCAGCUGGUAGAGCACCUGAUUUGUAAUCAGGGGGUCGGGGGUUCAAAUCCCUUCGCCAGCUCCA
Molecule: transfer RNA, 73 nt
Filed under: Acidobacteriota bacterium
Lineage: Bacteria; Pseudomonadati; Acidobacteriota
Description: Acidobacteria bacterium tRNA-Thr
Rfam family: tRNA (bases 5-62)
About the family: Transfer RNA (tRNA) molecules are approximately 80 nucleotides in length. Their secondary structure includes four short double-helical elements and three loops (D, anti-codon, and T loops).
Source: RNAcentral